GCGAACGCUGGCGGCAGGCCUAACACAUGCAAGUCGAACGGAUCCUUCGGGAUUAGUGGCGGACGGGUGAGUAACACGUGGGAACGUGCCUUUUGGUUCGGAACAACUCAGGGAAACUUGAGCUAAUACCGGAUAAGCCUUUCGAGGGAAAGAUUUAUCGCCAUUAGAGCGGCCCGCGUAGGAUUAGCUAGUUGGUGGGGUAAAGGCCCACCAAGGCUACGAUCCUUAGCUG
This 232-nucleotide ribosomal RNA is filed under the name Caulobacter sp. ISO299_OTU364. Its description in RNAcentral is "partial 16S ribosomal RNA". It matches the Rfam family "Bacterial small subunit ribosomal RNA", at positions 29 to 289 of the family's 1533-position model. The record is from RNAcentral. Lineage: Bacteria; Pseudomonadati; Pseudomonadota; Alphaproteobacteria; Caulobacterales; Caulobacteraceae. RNAcentral also lists the same sequence under 3 other names.